ACCAUGGCUGGUUGUGAUUCUAUAAUAUACUCAAAAAAGGGUAUUAAUUAGUGGGACAGAAAUAAGCUUGAAAUCUAUCUAAAACAGAGAAGAAGAAAAAGAAUAUUUCUUUAUGUGAUCCAAUACAUAUUUUACUAGUGUAAAGUUUCAAGUGAAAAUGAUAAAUUCCUAUUGGGGAAAGGUUCAUUAAUCUUUUCAUUUAUUAAGUUGUUUUCAAGAGAACUUCUUAGCAUACAUUUGCCAACAGAACAACAAAAAUCGACACAAAAGAGAAGCUGCUGACAAAAAACAAGCGGGUAUUUAGUACCUUGUAGGUAAGCAAGGAUUGGAG
Molecule: unclassified non-coding RNA, 331 nt
Filed under: Hevea brasiliensis (rubber tree)
Lineage: Eukaryota; Viridiplantae; Streptophyta; Magnoliopsida; Malpighiales; Euphorbiaceae
Source: RNAcentral